This 331-nucleotide long non-coding RNA is filed under the name Sorghum bicolor (sorghum). RNAcentral's name for it is "long non-coding RNA (SBIC_LNC008543)". Lineage: Eukaryota; Viridiplantae; Streptophyta; Magnoliopsida; Poales; Poaceae. The record is from RNAcentral.
AUCGCUGUGCUCUUUAUCCCAUAAACUUAUACUUUAUUAUCAUUAUCUUUAUGGUUUACCCCCUGCUAAAGUAAGUGACUGUGUGACGAGUUUCUUAUUAGUAAUCAUGUUCUUGCAAGUUUAUCUCUAGUCUAUGCCUUGAUAGAUUUUGUUCCUUGAUUUAAUUCCAUCUCCUUAGAUCCCGAGAGCAAAAUUAUAAAUGACGAUACCUGGAAUACUUAUCCUGGUGAAAUACUACAAUGAGGUGUUUUAUCUGUGCGCUUGCGGAUAGAAUAGAUUAUUUUCUAGAGAGCCUUUACAUUUAUAAAUACCUUUGUACACUCUGGCGCCA